RNAcentral lists this ribosomal RNA (477 nucleotides) under uncultured organism. RNAcentral's name for it is "partial 16S ribosomal RNA". It matches the Rfam family "Bacterial small subunit ribosomal RNA", at positions 333 to 801 of the family's 1533-position model. The record is from RNAcentral.
ACACUCCUACGGGAGGCAGCAGUGGGGAAUUUUGGACAAUGGGCGAAAGCCUGAUCCAGCAAUGCCGCGUGAGUGAAGAAGGCCUUCGGGUUGUAAAGCUCUUUUGUCAGGGAAGAAACGGUGAAAGCUAAUAUCUUUUGCUAAUGACGGUACCUGAAGAAUAAGCACCGGCUAACUACGUGCCAGCAGCCGCGGUAAUACGUAGGGUGCAAGCGUUAAUCGGAAUUACUGGGCGUAAAGCGUGCGCAGGCGGUUUUGUAAGUCUGAUGUGAAAUCCCCGGGCUCAACCUGGGAAUCGCAUUGGAGACUGCAAGGCUAGAAUCUGGCAGAGGGGGGUAGAAUUCCACGUGUAGCAGUGAAAUGCGUAGAUAUGUGGAGGAACACCGAUGGCGAAGGCAGCCCCCUGGGUCAAGAUUGACGCUCAUGCACGAAAGCGUGGGGAGCAAACAGGAUUAGAAACCCCUGUAGUCCCAUGAU